AUACGGAGGGUGCAAGCGUUACUCGGAAUCACUGGGCGUAAAGCGCGCGCAGGCGGGCUGAUAAGUUGGAUGUGAAAGCCUACGGCUCAACCGUAGAACUGCAUCCAAAACUGUCAGUCUAGAGUCUGGGAGGGGAAGAUGGAAUUAGUUGUGUAGGGGUAAAAUCCGUAGAGAUAACUAGGAAUACCAAAAGCGAAGGCGAUCUGCUGGAACAGUACUGACGCUGAGGCGCGAAAGCGUGGGGAGCAAACAGGAUUAGAUACCCUAGUAGUCC
This 274-nucleotide ribosomal RNA is filed under the name uncultured bacterium. Its description in RNAcentral is "partial 16S ribosomal RNA". It matches the Rfam family "Bacterial small subunit ribosomal RNA", at positions 523 to 796 of the family's 1533-position model. The record is from RNAcentral.